Lepidothrix coronata (blue-crowned manakin) is the source of this 325-nucleotide long non-coding RNA. RefSeq lists it as uncharacterized. NCBI's taxonomy places the organism in Eukaryota, Metazoa, Chordata, Aves, Passeriformes, Pipridae. The record is from RefSeq and is a predicted model, not a curated record. The transcript is spliced from 3 exons.
CUGGGAAAGCUGUGACAGUUUUGCAAUUGCAUGUAAAAGAUUUACAGAUCUGUAAAAGAUUUACAGAUAACUGAAAGGUGCAUUACACUAAUCAGAGGAAUGCAUAACCUCUGCAAAGCAGGUUGAGCUUGUUCUUCUCUUUAUGACUGAUUUCACAGCAAAAACAAUAACAUGCACAAACUAAACACGGAAAUGAAAGAUGCCUCUUCUCACCUCCAUAACUGUCCUAGAACUCAGAACUCUGCAGAGCUGAUAUACACAUCAAUGUCUGCUCAAAGUAACAAAAGUGCAAUCCAGUGGAAUUAAAUGCAGUUGUGUUUUGAUG